Molecule: ribosomal RNA, 442 nt
Filed under: uncultured bacterium
Lineage: Bacteria
Description: bacterial SSU rRNA
Rfam family: Bacterial small subunit ribosomal RNA
Source: RNAcentral
AACGAACGCUGGCGGCAGGCUUAACACAUGCAAGUCGAACGCCCCGCAAGGGGAGUGGCAGACGGGUGAGUAACGCGUGGGAAUCUACCCUUUUCUACGGAACAACUGAGGGAAACUUCAGCUAAUACCGUAUACGGCCGAGAGGCGAAAGAUUUAUCGGAGAAGGAUGAGCCCGCGUUGGAUUAGCUAGUUGGUGGGGUAAAGGCCUACCAAGGCGACGAUCCAUAGCUGGUCUGAGAGGAUGAUCAGCCACACUGGGACUGAGACACGGCCCAGACUCCUACGGGAGGCAGCAGUGGGGAAUAUUGGACAAUGGGCGCAAGCCUGAUCCAGCCAUGCCGCGUGAGUGAUGAAGGCCCUAGGGUUGUAAAGCUCUUUCACCGGUGAAGAUAAUGACGGUAACCGGAGAAGAAGCCCCGGCUAACUUCGUGCCAGCCGCCGC